Molecule: unclassified non-coding RNA, 211 nt
Filed under: plant metagenome
Description: partial contains small subunit ribosomal RNA, internal transcribed spacer 1, and 5.8S ribosomal RNA
Source: RNAcentral
UUUCCGUAGGUGAACCUGCGGAAGGAUCAUACAUAAUAAAGUGUUUUAUGGCACUUUUUAAAAAUCCAUAUCCACCUUGUGUGCAAUGUUAGAUCUCGUCAAUCUUGGCGAGAUUUUUAUACAUCAACUCAUUCUUUAACUAAUUUGUCUGAAAAAUAUUAUGAAUACUUAAUUCAAAAUACAACUUUCAACAACGGAUCUCUUGGCUCUC